UACGGAGGGGGUUAGCGUUGUUCGGAAUUACUGGGCGUAAAGCGCACGUAGGCGGAUCAGAAAGUUAGGGGUGAAAUCCCGGGGCUCAACCUCGGAACUGCCUCUAAAACUCCUGGUCUAGAGUUCGAGAGAGGUGAGUGGAAUUCCAAGUGUAGAGGUGAAAUUCGUAGAUAUUGGAAAGAAUACCAGUGGCGAAGGCGACUAACUGGGCCAUUUUUGACGCUGAGGUGCGAAAGUGUGGGGAGCAAACAGG
Molecule: ribosomal RNA, 253 nt
Filed under: uncultured bacterium
Lineage: Bacteria
Description: partial 16S ribosomal RNA
Rfam family: Bacterial small subunit ribosomal RNA
Source: RNAcentral